RNAcentral lists this ribosomal RNA (492 nucleotides) under uncultured bacterium. Its description in RNAcentral is "partial 16S ribosomal RNA". It matches the Rfam family "Bacterial small subunit ribosomal RNA", at positions 29 to 507 of the family's 1533-position model. The record is from RNAcentral.
AGUGAACGCUGGCGGUAGGCCUAACACAUGCAAGUCGAACGGCAGCACAGUAAGAGCUUGCUCUUACGGGUGGCGAGUGGCGGACGGGUGAGGAAUACAUCGGAAUCUACUUUUUCGUGGGGGAUAACGUAGGGAAACUUACGCUAAUACCGCAUACGACCUACGGGUGAAAGCAGGGGAUCUUCGGACCUUGCGCGAUUGAAUGAGCCGAUGUCGGAUUAGCUAGUUGGCGGGGUAAAGGCCCACCAAGGCGACGAUCCGUAGCUGGUCUGAGAGGAUGAUCAGCCACACUGGAACUGAGACACGGUCAAGACUCCUACGGGAGGCAGCAGUGGGGAAUAUUGGACAAUGGGCGCAAGCCUGAUCCAGCCAUACCGCGUGGGUGAAGAAGGCCUUCGGGUUGUAAAGCCCUUUUGUUGGGAAAGAAAAGCAGCAGGUUAAUACCCCGCUGUUCUGACGGUACCCAAAGAAUGAGCACCGGCUAACUUCGUG